Molecule: long non-coding RNA, 1279 nt
Organism: Xenopus laevis (African clawed frog)
Lineage: Eukaryota; Metazoa; Chordata; Amphibia; Anura; Pipidae
Exons: 2
Source: RefSeq, a predicted model, not a curated record
CGGUGCUGCUGCUGAUGUGGGACUGGGGGUCGGUGCUGCUGCUGCUUUGGGACUGGGGGGUCGGUGCUGCUGCUGAUGUGGGACAGGAGGUCUGGGGAUUUGCCAUUAGAAACAUGGAGUGAGUUUCUGUGUUGCUUGAGGACAUUUUUCUCCAGAACCUCACUACUUCAGUUGAAAGUUUACAUAAGUUUGUAUUCGUACACCUCGUCCAAGCUGUGACUGGGGCUGUUGUUUGUUUCCCUACAGCUGUGUCCAGGUUUAUAUUGUUUAUGUAUGUUGUCAUAUUGAUUUUUCUGGUUUAUGUGAAAAUCAAAUAAAUAUUUUGAGAAAUAUAUUGUUUAUGGUGAACUGGAUGUGAGUGUCCCUUUUUCUUAGGGUUUAUCCAGUUUUUUUUAAUGUAAAUUCCUCCUGUUUGGCACUUUCAGAGCUGCCAACCCCCCUAUUUUCUUGAAAGUUACAAGAUUUUGGGCUCCGUCCCCCGGUCUCCUGUCACUUUUAAGCAUUCCCCCGAUUUCUGACGGUUUUCCACAAUUUUUGAAUAUUUGUGGUGAAAAUCCAAUGUGCACACGUGUCGUGCAACACAGAAUGUUUGGCUUCAGGACAGGUCUGCGCAUGCGCGUGACAUCACUUCCGCUGACAUCACUUCCAGGUAUGAAAAAAAUCCAGUCAGGGCAUCGCUUAUCCCCCUAGAAACGAGCUUUAAAUGGUGACAGCCUGAAAUUGACUCUGUUUCUAUAUUCCAUUUUACAUUGCUUUGUAAUUCAUUUCUUUUUAUCCCUGACUUGCUUUUGUUGUGCAGUUAUUUGUUAACAUUUCAGGGGGGUACACCCCUAUCUUCGUCAGAAACGGAGGACGGUUGUUACCCCCUGAAAUGUUGCCACCUUGGUGACUCAAUAAAUGGCGUAAACUCCCCAACUGCUUAUUAUUGUGUGUGUGGCUCCGUCACUGCACCUCGAGGGUUAAAGCAGCUGGAGGGAGCCCAGUGGCCAUUUCCUGCUCUAGAAGGCUGGACUGAGUCAUUGACUUGCUCAGAGGGGAGGGGCCAUAAGAGACAGCUGUAGGGACAAUGAUUGGGUUCCUGCACAGAGGGGCGGGGCAAGGUGAUUAGGGACUGAGGGAAAAUGUCCUGAUGGCUUUAUAUGUACAAGAUCUGCUGUCUCCUGUCUUAGCCUGAGCUGAGAAGCAGGAGCAGCGUCACUUCCAGGUCAGUCCCUCCCACAAGGAGCCAAUGGGAAUGUGGGAGGAAGCGAGUGACACAGGGAUGAAGGGGAAGAAGAAG